Molecule: unclassified non-coding RNA, 375 nt
Filed under: uncultured Gammaproteobacteria bacterium
Lineage: Bacteria; Pseudomonadati; Pseudomonadota; Gammaproteobacteria
Description: contains 16S-23S intergenic spacer region
Source: RNAcentral
UCCGGUUCUUCACCGGCAGUCUCCUUAGAGUCCCCAACUUAAUGAUGGCAACUAAGAACAAGGGUUGCGCUCGUUACGGGACUUAACCCAACAUCUCACAACACGAGCUGACGACAGCCAUGCAGCACCUGUCUCUGCGUUCCUCGCGGCACCCCAACCUCUCAGUCAGGUUCGCAGGAUGUCAAGGGUAGGUAAGGUUCUUCGCGUUGCAUCGAAUUAAACCACAUGCUCCACCGCUUGUGCGGGCCCCCGUCAAUUCCUUUGAGUUUCAACCUUGCGGCCGUACUUCCCAGGCGGAGAACUUAUCGCGUUAGCUUCGAUACCGCUUGGUUCCCCAAGCAACAUCUAGUUCUCAUCGUUUACAGCAUGGACUAC